CAGCAGCCGCGGUAAUACGGAGGGUGCAAGCGUUAAUCGGAAUUACUGGGCGUAAAGCGCACGCAGGCGGUCUGACAAGUCAGAUGUGAAAUCCCCGGGCUUAACCUGGGAACUGCAUUUGAAACUGUCAGGCUGGAGUCUUGUAGAGGGGGGUAGAAUUCCAGGUGUAGCGGUGAAAUGCGUAGAGAUCUGGAGGAAUACCGGUGGCGAAGGCGGCCCCCUGGACAAAGACUGACGCUCAGGUGCGAAAGCGUGGGGAGCAAACAGGAUUAGAUACCCCUGUAGUCCCUGUCUCUUAUAC
Molecule: ribosomal RNA, 301 nt
Filed under: uncultured bacterium
Lineage: Bacteria
Description: partial 16S ribosomal RNA
Rfam family: Bacterial small subunit ribosomal RNA
Source: RNAcentral